RNAcentral lists this ribosomal RNA (496 nucleotides) under uncultured bacterium. RNAcentral describes it as "partial 16S ribosomal RNA". It matches the Rfam family "Bacterial small subunit ribosomal RNA", at positions 28 to 506 of the family's 1533-position model. The record is from RNAcentral.
GAUGAACGCUGGCGGCGUGCCUAAUACAUGCAAGUCGAGCGAACAGACGAGGAGCUUGCUCCUCUGACGUUAGCGGCGGACGGGUGAGUAACACGUGGAUAACCUACCUAUAAGACUGGGAUAACUUCGGGAAACCGGAGCUAAUACCGGAUAAUAUAUUGAACCGCAUGGUUCAUUAGUGAACGACGGUUUUGCUGUCACUUAUAGAUGGAUCCGCGCCGCAUUAGCUAGUUGGUAAGGUAACGGCUUACCAAGGCGACGAUGCGUAGCCGACCUGAGAGGGUGAUCGGCCACACUGGAACUGAGACACGGUCCAGACUCCUACGGGAGGCAGCAGUAGGGAAUCUUCAGAAAUGGGCGAAAGCCUGACGGAGCAUCGCCGCGUGAGUGAUGAAGGUCUUCGGAUCGUAAAACUCUGUUAUUAGGGAAGAACAAAUGUGUAAGUAACUAUGCACGUCUUGACGGUACCUAAGCAGAAAGCCACGGCUAAUUACGU